AGCAUCCAGUCCCCUCCAGCCUGGGCAGUUGUUUCUCCAUGGACAUCUUCCUCUGCAUUUAGUCUCAGAAACUGGAACAACUUGUACUCCUUUAGUCCCACCAGCGUUGAUUGCUCUUUUCUGAAGUCUGUUCAAAGCUGUUAAUCCAAUUCUGGAACUGAGGUGUGGGGAGAAGCCCUUUUCUCGAUCAAGUUGACCGUAAGUCUGCUGCCUUGAGAUCUUAGGAGACAAAGCACAGGUAAGCACUACAUACUGUUGAGAACAUCAGAGGAGUAGCUCUGUGAAACAGCACUGUGGUUUGUGUUUAUCCUCCCUUGGUGAUAUCCACAUUAAAGCACUUCAUUUACAAGUGAUGGCAAAGUUGUUCUCUGCUGUAAACUGAGCCUGAAGGUGGGAGGCCAGUGUGCGAUGGAAAAGAUGGAGUUUCUCAGAGAGACACAUUGCCUUUGCUUUCUCACAGAACAGUCGUGAGGAGGAAAUUCUUUGGCUUGACAUUUAAGUACCAGAGACAGAAUCAGUGAUGCUGGGAAGAAUUCAGGGGUGAGAGGGAGGUAAAUUGGCUUGGAUGAAUCAAUAACAAACUUGAAUCUUUGAUCAAAACAUGCUUGCCUCCUUCCCCUCCCUGCUGCUGUCUGUGCCAGAUUUGGAUGAAGCUUGGGGAAGUUGGGGAGUUAAAAAAUCUUUUUUAGUAAGUGACUUUGCAUCUCUGCACUAUCUCCACAUAUGGGGCUAUAUUGUGCCAACCCCUAGGAUGAUGUGACAUAACAAGUGAAGAGACAAAAGAUAUCUGAACGUCAUGCAAGAGGCCACGUGCAAUUUCUCUCUUUCUUUGUGGAGUGAGCCAUACUGCAGACAGGCUUUCCAGCAGGGGAAUGGUAGAGCUCGGGUUUUGGCUGAGUCCUGUUUUCUUUUGUGCUUGCUGCAUACUAGGUUAGAAAAAAGCUGGGCUGCUGAGACUUGAGUUUCAGUGCUUUCCUUCAUCCCAUUGCUGCUGUUUCAAUACUGACCUUCCUUGCUUAGCUUACUCUGUGUCUCCCACCAUGGUUGGUUAGAGCCCAAUGCUGCUUCCCUGCCCUCUGCCAAGCCUGACUUGGCAUGACUUCUGGUCCUGCCACUUCCAGGUGGAGAUGGAGAUACCAGCAAUGUGUUGGCUCAUUCCCAUACAGUCCCUGCCAGGGAGACAAAGGCAGCCCUUAGAGCAAACAUUAUCUUUUGCAAUACGUAAAGCUGUGAUAAGUUGGGAUGGUACUCGUGAGAAAAACAGUAAUGUGCAUUGGAAGCAAAAAGGGCUGUCACCUCAGACCUCUGGCCGGCAGAGUGUCUGCUUCCUGGCAUGAGAUCACUGCUGAAUUUUGAAGACGUGUUUUUCCACACAGAUUUGAGAGCUGCUAAUGCUACAAUUUUGCAUCAUCAGUGUGGUGGAAAUUAAUUUGUGAUGUUGUAAUGGAAUUAAAACAGAGAAGAAAGUGGGUGCAACCUAGCCCAGUGUUCCAGUGGAAGCUCCCCUGGGCUUACACCUUUCUCUGAGACAAAGUUUGAAAAAUAUUUCACUGAGGUACUUUAAUGCAGAGGUGCUGGCUACAGAAUGCACCACUCCAACAUGUAAUAUGUUGUCAUGAUUUUGGUCACUCUGUACGCUGCAGUCUUUGAAGAUUACUGUCUUGUGUUAAAGGUGACAGUACUGGUUUCUGGUCCAUUCCAGCAUUGUGUGCUGCUCUGAGCCAGGAUUGCAGCCUUGCAAUGGUGUAGCUGUAGUCAGUCAUGCCUUGGGGCAGGGGGAUGGAUUAUAUACCCCUUGAAGUCUCCCUUAGAGACUUGUUUUCUGUGAUUGCAAUGCACACAUACCUUGGAGGAAUAACUAACCUGCAGUGCCAUGGCACUCACUCCACCAACCCUUCCCUUAUCGGCUCCUUUGUAAAUGCAAAGCAUUCAUCCACCUCGACUUCUCCAUAAGUGGCUGCAAAACCACUUCUCUGGGAAUAAGCGCUGCCUGUUCCCCUGGCAGCAGCAUAGCUGCAUCCCCUUCCCCAUGGUGAGGCACCCCACAGCCAGAAGGAAGAUGCACCAGAAGCAGCGUCAGCUUUUUUCUGCCACUGAGCUGAGUUGCUCCAGUCCCUCUUCCCCAUUUGCUGCCGAUGAGGUAGCAAUUAUGCUCCCAUCGAUCCCUCCUCUCCAGGAAUCACCCUGUGUGCACUGGCACACUGUCACAAUCAAUAGCCCAGCCCUUGUGCAGAGACGGCAAGGGGGCCAAAGAGGCAAUUUGCUCACUGGACAGGUUACGAUGAAAUAAUAUUGUGUCAGAAGGUGAAGUGGCAGAGCGGCUGGCACUAAAUAUUUCCCUCUGUGGCCACCGGGAAAGCUAGGGCUCCACAAGAUUUAAAGUCAGGCUCAGUAGCUGCUGCUUAGAUCCUGCUGGAGAUAAAGUGUAACUGAAAGAAAGUGGGGAAACGAUUGUUUAGGAAACAAAAUUGAUGUGGGUCCUUAAACCCAUCACUUCAAAAUUGUUCUGACUGGGAAGGGAAGGAGGAGAUAAAAUAUCUUUCAUUUUUGACCUCUAGCUGAUGGGUAUUAAACACAUACAGGUUUCAUUGUGGACAAAACUCAGGACUUCCAACAGCCGAGCUCAAUCAAUCAGCUUAUUAGUAAAACAUAAAUAUUGCAUUCAAAAAAAGGAGAUACUUGCCUUGAGAGUCACUGCUGUCAUCCUAGCUUAGAGACAUACUACAAAUUAGGCAAGCAAAGGUAUCACUUUCAGCCAAUUUUUAACAGGCAAAACAAGGGGAGUUUCAAAACUUUCUGAAAUAUUUUUAUUUUGUUUUGAGUAGUCUCUUGAUAUUGUAUCUCAAAUGAAAUGAGUAAAUAGCUUUAUGCUCAUUACUCCCUGAUUCAAAGCUCAUGUUUGACAUGUUAUAGUCAUCUCUCCCCAGUAAAGUAUAUCACAGUCUUCAGCUUUGCUGAGCAUAAGCAGAGGACACUGUGGGUGCUUCUUAGCUCAAGGGCCUUGGUGCCUGUACUACCCAUUUGCACCCACUGCCCUUCUAACAGAGAUUAAGUACUUAGAAAUACAUACAAUUACUUAGAAAUGCAAUACUGAUCUCUACCAUGGAAUCUAUGUUAAUAUAUUUAUAUUGAAUUAAAACAGAGGUUAGUGUAAGCAUGGAAGCAAGUGAUAACAAGGUAUUUAGUCAAAGGUGGGUUCACAGGAAAAGAAAGCUUAGUGUUUAGACCUGGGAAACUGCCUGAAGGCUGCUGCUGCUCCCACACACACUUUGCCACCUUAGGCACAUCAUUUAUGUCAGAUUUUUUCAGAAGUGCCCAGUUAUUUGGAGUGCCUCAUUAGUGCUAACCCAAGUGUGGAGCACCUGCAGAUGCCCUUCCAUCAGCAGGACCUAGCAAGGCUCUGCACAUCUGCUCAUCAAACCAGCCAGCAGUUAGGCAUCUUGCAGUUAUAAUGGAGGCUUUCUGCUUUCAGUGUCUCUCGGUUUCCACCUUUGUCAAAUGGAGGCAAUGCUGCAGGACAUAAACAGCGUAGUGGGAAGCCCACAGGCCAGAAUAGCCUCUACACACUACAUGGCAGCAGGGAAGCCUUGGGCAACUUGGCACUCCUAAGAAAACCUUCCAUGCCAUCAUAGGCUGCUCACCCCAGCUGCAUGGCUAAGUCCUUGUGAUUUCUCCAGUGCAAUGGUCUCAGGCCACCACAACACAGGGAUGGAUCCCAGCCCUGCCACUGAUAAGGUCCCUGUGUGUUGAAAAGCAGUCUGUGGCUGGUCUAAAUGUAGGCUGCCCACAGGGCCCCUAGAUGACUUGUGCUGGCUCUGCAGCUUCCAGAUUAAUAGUUCCUCACAGUCAUCUUGUGAAAGUGCAACAUAGAGCUGUUUGCCCUUUUGUGAAUAAAUGGGGGCAGCAAUGUUCGAGCUGGGUCUGGCAAGGUAAGGAGUAAUUCCCUGGCAAGCAGAGAGAGUCUGGCUUCACCCAGCUCUGCAGAGGGAGAGGGUGAAACAUGACCCACCCUCUCCGUGCUUUUCAGCUCCAGAUGAAUGGUGCUUAUUUGUCACCACGGAAAGGAAAACUCAGCCAUGUGCAAGCACAACAUCUGCUCAGUGGGGACUGCUGCUGCCAGCAUGCAGCACAACACCGUUUGCUGGACCCCAUGGCACUCACCCUGGGGACCUCGCAGAAGCGCUGGCUGCAGUGCAAGAAGGGUCAGGGGUGCAUGUGCCUCCUGCCAGUAGGCUCAGAACUGCUACAUCCGAGCCUAAAGUGAAGAUUACGAGGCUGCAUAGGUAUGUGAGCAGGCACUGGAAAGCUGAAGCCAGUGGGCUCUGGCAGGGCACGCCUCCUGCCUGUCCCUUUAGGUUAGGGAGUUAGAAGGAGUUGGACAGAGUGGGCUGGUAGCUGACAGGUGUUUGGCUGCUUUUCCAAGGGUUUGCUACAACAAUUUGGAUGAUGCCUCCCUCUUUCUGUGGGGUAGCUCCUACCUGGAAAUGCAUUUAAGAAGCAUUUUAAGAUUUCUUUAUUUUUGUCUUUCUGUGCAGUGCAAAUGGAUCCCUAAAUGCCAACACUUUUUUGGUACUGAUUUAUCUCUGGGUGUGACACUAAUGUUUCACCCUCUCCAAAAUACUGAGGUUAGGUUAAGCCAUAGCAUAGCCCUGCCUGGAGGCAAAGGAAUGGGUUCCUGUGCAAGGCAGGAAUGCUCUGCCCCAACUAUGGAGGAGCAUCAGCCCCCAAGAUACAGGAAUUCAGUGGGGUGCAGGUCUCCUGUGGUUGAACUGAAGGUCCCAUGCCUCUUAUCUGUAUUUGUGUAGUGAUGAGGGCUUUCCACUAGAGAGAGACAUGAGUACGCACAGAAAACCUGUUUGCUAUUUGUAUCACACAGUUCACCUGGCCAACAUGGUGCUAAAGGGAAUGGCUGGAGCUGAUCAUGAAAUGAGCUUUUUCCCCCUGAUGAAAUUUUUACUUAUCUAUUCUGACUGACAUUUGUCUUCCAGACGGGGUUUGGCAAAGAAAAUCCUCAUUUUUUUUUUUCAUUCUUGCUUUAAAAAAGCCCAUUUUUAUUCUUUUUAGUUCUUUCAGUAGAGGCCAAAAUCUGCUGAAACAUUGGAGAGUCUUGCAAAAAAACAUAAUCAAGAAACUUGACAAAAAUAUUUUUAUUAGAAAUGACAUUUUUUUAGAAAAUGUGCAGCUGCUUGCUGUUUAUCUGACAAGAAAGUGGGUAUUACCCAGGCAAAAACUGGUAACUCUCAUGUACCUUUUUGUUUCUAUAGACAAAACUCAAUUCGGUGACCUCUGAAAUACGAACAUCUUGAACAUAUGAAGGACCAUUAAAAUAUUGAACACAAUAUAUUUAAGAGCAGAAGCAAAGAGUAACCUUCUUAGCUGAAAAUCCCAGAGAGACAGAAAUGUGGCCAAGGACAGUGGUGUUAAUAUUUCUGUAUUUAUGUGUCAUUCUGUAAUCUUUGCAGGCAGUCGGGCCCAUGCUUUGCACACCAGAGGAAGCUGAUCUUCUCAGCUGUUUUUCACCAGAAGACCUGCUCAGCCAGCAGAACCAAACCUUCUUAGUGUGGUGUUGGAACAGUGCCCAUUUGGAGAUAAGGGAACUGUUGAGUGAGAUGCCUUCAGCAUGUAAUGUAUUGUUAUGUGUAUACAGUGUAGAUUUUCCUUUGUGGUUACUUGGAGCUCUGAGUGAGGAGAGUAUGUAGCACCUAAUGGUGCUUUGCCUGGGAUCUGUGCUGAGUGUACAACUCAGGGUGGCAGGGCUGUGAGUCACACAAUUUCUUCUAUUUUUGGAUCCUGUUUUUGAAUGCUUUCCCCUGUGGUAUAUGGGUGGUUGAAGGAAACACACACAUGCAGGCUUCACAUACUGCAAAUAGAAAGUCUGCGUUUAAAGGCCUCCAAUUGCUUUCUUGCAGAUCCUGCCAAGCUUCAACCUGCUAGUCUUGAUAAACACCCUCUCCUGGGGUGUUGCUCACUGGGAACAUAUGGUCCCGUGGGAAACAGAUGGGCCCAGAGCUGGGAACUUCCAGGAGCUUUUGGUGGGAGACGGGAUCCCAUCCUUUACCUCAAAGGCCCAUCCUAAAGGCACAGUGAGAGCAUUCUUCUCUGGUGUUUUUCUAAUCUCAUGAGAAGUUCCCCUUCAUUGCCAUCAGGUAUGAGUGGGUACUUGAAGCAGGGCGUUUCAAUGUCCAGGCAGUGUCCUCCUUUCUGCAGGACAUAGAAGAAAUCUGAGGAAUAAAGAGGGAAAUAGGUAAAACACAAAGACUAUGAAAUAACAGCCUUUUUCUUUGGUACCUCCCAAAUGGCUUCUUGCCCCCAGAUAUCUCCUGCACCACCCAGCAUAAGACCAUCACAGAUCUCCAUCAUGACUGGAGACUGGGGUGUAAAUCCAGGGCUUUAACAGUCUCUUGUGAGUUAACAUGGAUCUGAACAAGUCUCCUUUCAAUAUUCACUCUUCAGUACAGGCCCAGCUUUGCUCUAUCUUAUCAUCUUGGGAAACAGAUGAUGCAGGAUUUGACUGAUCCCUUCACCAUCAGCAGCCAUUCCUGGAAAUGAAUCACUGCCUCUGAGAUUGUUUCCCUGAUGCUUUUCAUAGAACAUCUGAUAUCUCAAAGAGAUGUCUUUUCCUUUUCUGUUUAUCUAACCUAGAGCUAUUAUGAUUGUAGUAGCUGCUGGGUUCAUAGCCCCAGGGGCAGAAAGCUUCAUUGCAUCCUGCUCAAGGCACCCCUCUCCUAGUUUCCUGUAGCCUUUCUGGAUGCACAUGGCCUAAACCCAAGGAGGUUGUUAAGCUCCUAGUUCCUAUUUGUUCUUAAUUUACCCUUUGAAAACUGAUCCUCAGCUAGUCUGGUUUUCUCAAAACUUGCAACCCUUUAUUAUACCAAGUUUUUGCUCCAGUUUGAAGCCCAGUCUUUCCGUGGGGAGAUAAUUCCACACAUAGGAGACUAACUGUAGAGAGGUAAUAUAGGUGGGAAUUUCUACCUCAGUCAUGUUUUAUUGUGUAUCACUUCCUCCCUCUGUAACACCCCUCUGGGCCUCCUAGCAAACCCCUUUCUCCACUUGUUUAUGGACUUUCAUUCUGUUUCAGAAAUCUGAUAAAUACAGAAGCCUUUAGACAGAAAAUGUAGACUAAAAGCUGCUCUAAACCAAUGUUUCUUCCCUCUUCUUUGUAAGCCUGGUGCACAUUAAAUGAAACUUAUAUGCUUCUUGAAA
Molecule: long non-coding RNA, 7203 nt
Organism: Pseudopipra pipra
Lineage: Eukaryota; Metazoa; Chordata; Aves; Passeriformes; Pipridae
Exons: 2
Source: RefSeq, a predicted model, not a curated record